This 471-nucleotide ribosomal RNA is filed under the name Pachycheles biocellatus. RNAcentral's name for it is "SSU rRNA". It matches the Rfam family "Eukaryotic small subunit ribosomal RNA", at positions 837 to 1306 of the family's 1831-position model. The record is from RNAcentral. Lineage: Eukaryota; Metazoa; Arthropoda; Malacostraca; Decapoda; Porcellanidae.
UUGUUGGUUUUUUCUUGAGCCCAAGGUAAUGACUAAUAGGGACAGUCGGGGGCAUAUGUAUUGCGACGCUAGAGGUGAAAUUCUUGGAUCGUCGCAAGACAAACAACUGCGAAAGCAUUUGCCAAGGAUGUUUUCAUUAAUCAAGAACGAAAGUUAGAGGUUCGAAGGCGAUCAGAUACCGCCCUAGUUCUAACCAUAAACGAUGCUGACCAGCAAUCCGUCGGAGUUAUAACCACGAUCCGAACGGGCGACUUCCGGGAAACCAAAGUCUUUGAGUUCCGGGGGAAGUAUGGUUGCAAAGCUGAAACUUAAAGGAAUUGACGGAAGGGCACCACCAGGAGUGGAGCCUGCGGCUUAAUUUGACUCAACACGGGGAACCUCACCAGGCCCAGACACUGGAAGGAUUGACAGAAUGAGAGCUCUUUCUCGAUUCAGUGGGUGGUGGUGCAUGGCCGUUCUUAGUUGGUGGAG